UACGUAGGGUGCAAGCGUUAAUCGGAAUUACUGGGCGUAAAGCGUGCGCAGGCGGUGAUAUAAGACAGAUGUGAAAUAUCCGGGCUUAACCCGGAGGGGUCAUUUGAAACUGUAAGACUAGAGUACAGCAGAGGAUAGCGGAAUUCCCGGUGUAGUGGUGAAAUGCGUAGAUAUCGGGAGGAACACCAGUGGCGAAGGCGGCUAUCUGGGCUGAAACUGACGCUGAGGCGCGAAGGCUAGGGGAGCAAACAGG
Molecule: ribosomal RNA, 253 nt
Filed under: uncultured bacterium
Lineage: Bacteria
Description: partial 16S ribosomal RNA
Rfam family: Bacterial small subunit ribosomal RNA
Source: RNAcentral